UUUUCAGGUUCUUCUCCGCAAAUCACUACAAGAAAGAGCUUACUGGUCCUGAUGUUUGGCCUCACGCUUUUAAAGGAUACCUAUACCUCUACGAGUUGAAGACUAGUCUCAGGUUUGUUGAAGAAGCUGUGCCAGAAGCUUGAAGGACGCCUAGUCGGACGUUCAAAGUUUUGUAAUUAAGAUGUACAUACGCACAUAUAUUUGUAAUUAUCUGGUAUCCUCUCUUGGAGAAGAAUGAUAUAAGACAGAAAGGCGGCACAUGGUUACAGCUUUAUUUGUUUCGCCCGCAUUCCUUUAAAAGGAAACCCCACAAUUAUUGUGGCUUUCCUUCGUUGUUAUCGUCCAUUUACUGUGAUGAACUAUGUUUUUUGUUGAAGCCCAGUACAUGUUUAACAGCCCCGCAUUGUGUAGUCAACAUUCGUUCAAAUACCAAAGACAAGAUAACUACUUCCUUUUUAUGGCUGCUUAGCUGUGUGGACUACUCUAUGCUAACCCGAAGCAGAGACCAAGAGCGCAUACCAAAGAAGAAUGCAACGGUUGUUUCUACAGGCACGUAUCUCUUGGAGCACAUCGGUCGACUGUUUUGGCGUAUGGACAUGUGGACAAAGCAUGCAGUGCCGAUUUUGAAGGCUGGGCUGGCUCUGGGAACUACCGCAAUCGCGACAAACAAAUAAUAAAUAUUUUUAUGAAACCAA
This 695-nucleotide long non-coding RNA is filed under the name Dermacentor andersoni. RNAcentral's name for it is "uncharacterized LOC126531423". Lineage: Eukaryota; Metazoa; Arthropoda; Arachnida; Ixodida; Ixodidae. The record is from RNAcentral.